This 74-nucleotide transfer RNA is filed under the name Acidimicrobiales bacterium. RNAcentral's name for it is "tRNA-Ala". It matches the Rfam family "tRNA". Rfam says of the family: Transfer RNA (tRNA) molecules are approximately 80 nucleotides in length. Their secondary structure includes four short double-helical elements and three loops (D, anti-codon, and T loops). The record is from RNAcentral. Lineage: Bacteria; Bacillati; Actinomycetota; Acidimicrobiia; Acidimicrobiales.
GGGGAUGUAGCUCAGUUGGCUAGAGUGCUUGACUGGCAGUCAAGAGGUCGUGGGUUCGAAUCCCAUCAGCUCCA